This 430-nucleotide ribosomal RNA is filed under the name Pseudomonadota bacterium. Its description in RNAcentral is "Proteobacteria bacterium partial 16S ribosomal RNA". It matches the Rfam family "Bacterial small subunit ribosomal RNA", at positions 355 to 776 of the family's 1533-position model. Lineage: Bacteria; Pseudomonadati; Pseudomonadota. The record is from RNAcentral.
UGGGGAAUAUUGGACAAUGGGGGGAACCCUGAUCCAGCCAUGCCGCGUGUGUGAAGAAGGCCUUAUGGUUGUAAAGCACUUUAAGCGAGGAGGAGGGUACUGGUAUUAAUACUACCAGGUACUGGACGUUACUCGCAGAAUAAGCACCGGCUAACUCUGUGCCAGCAGCCGCGGUAAUACAGAGGGUGCGAGCGUUAAUCGGAUUUACUGGGCGUAAAGCGUGCGUAGGCGGCUAAUUGAGUCGGAUGUGAAAUCCCCGAGCUUAACUUGGGAAUUGCAUUCGAUACUGGUUAGCUAGAGUGUGGGAGAGGAUGGUAGAAUUCCAGGUGUCGCGGUGAAAUGCGUAGAGAUCUGGAGGAAUACCGAUGGCGAAGGCAGCCAUCUGGCCUAACACUGACGCUGAGGUACGAAAGCAUGGGGAGCAAACAGG